AAAAAGUUCAGUUUAGAGUUUAAAACCAUAAUGCUGACUGAAUGGAAAAGAGUUCAGUUUAGGGUUUAAAACCCUAAUGCUGACUGAAGGAAAAGUUCAGUUUAGGGUUUAAAACCCUAAUGCUGACUAAAGUAAAAAGUCUAGUUUAGGGUUUAAAACCCUAAUGCUGACUAAAUGGGAAAAGUUCAGUUUAGGGUUUAAAACCCUAAUGCUGACUAAAUGGAAAAAGUUCAGUUUAGGGUUUAAAACCCUAAUGCUGACUGGCUGGGGACAAAGUUCGAGGAUACUAACUGACC
Molecule: long non-coding RNA, 296 nt
Filed under: Nicotiana tabacum (common tobacco)
Lineage: Eukaryota; Viridiplantae; Streptophyta; Magnoliopsida; Solanales; Solanaceae
Description: long non-coding RNA (NTAB_LNC005602)
Source: RNAcentral